RNAcentral lists this ribosomal RNA (253 nucleotides) under uncultured bacterium. RNAcentral describes it as "partial 16S ribosomal RNA". It matches the Rfam family "Bacterial small subunit ribosomal RNA", at positions 524 to 776 of the family's 1533-position model. The record is from RNAcentral. RNAcentral also lists the same sequence under 1 other name.
UACGGGGGGGGCAAGCGUUGUUCGGAAUUACUGGGCGUAAAGGGCUCGUAGGUGGCCAACUAAGUCAGACGUGAAAUCCCCAGGCUCAACUUGGGAACUGCGUCUGAUACUGGAUGGCUUGAAUUCGGGAGAGGGAUGCAGAAUUCCAGGUGUAGCGGUGAAAUGCGUAGAUAUCUGGAGGAAUACCGGUGGCGAAGGCGGCAUCCUGGACCGAUAUUGACACUGAGGAGCGAAAGCCAGGGGAGCAAACGGG